GAUGAACGCUGGCGGCGUGCCUAAUACAUGCAAGUCGAGCGAACGGACGAGGAGCUUGCUUCUCUGAUGUUAGCCGAGGACGGGUGAGUAACACGUGGAUAACCUCCCUAUCAGACUGGGAUAACUUCGGGAAACCGGAGCUAAUACCGGAGGAUAUCUUGAACCGCAUGGUUCAAAAGUGAAAGACGGCCUUGCGGUCACGUAUAGCUGGAUCCGCGCUGCAUUAGCUAGUUGGUAGGGUCACGGCUUACCACGGCAACGAUGCGUAGCCGACAUGAGAGGGUGGUCGGCAACACUGGAACGGAGGCACGGUCCAGACGCCUACGGGAGGCAGCAGUAGGGAACGUGCCGCAAUGGGCGAAAGUCUGACGCAGUAACGCGGCGUGAGUGAUGACAGUGCUGGGAUCGUAAAAACCUGUUAUGAGGGAAGAACAGAUGUGUAAGGAACUGUGGAGAUCGUGACGGUACCUAAUCAAGAAGCAACGGCUAACUACGUG
This 497-nucleotide ribosomal RNA is filed under the name uncultured bacterium. RNAcentral describes it as "partial 16S ribosomal RNA". It matches the Rfam family "Bacterial small subunit ribosomal RNA", at positions 28 to 507 of the family's 1533-position model. The record is from RNAcentral.